Molecule: ribosomal RNA, 252 nt
Filed under: uncultured bacterium
Lineage: Bacteria
Description: partial 16S ribosomal RNA
Rfam family: Bacterial small subunit ribosomal RNA
Source: RNAcentral
UACGUAGGGUGCAAGCGUUGUCCGGAAUUAUUGGGCGUAAAGGGCUCGUAGGCGGUUUGUCGCGUCGGGAGUGAAAACUCAGGGCUUAACCCUGAGCCUGCUUCCGAUACGGGCAGACUAGAGGUAUGCAGGGGAGAAUGGAAUUCCUGGUGUAGCGGUGAAAUGCGCAGAUAUCAGGAGGAACACCGGUGGCGAAGGCGGUUCUCUGAGCCGAUACUGACGCUGAGGAGCGAAAGCGUGGGAGCGAACAGG